GACCAGUGUUGCCAGUCUGAAAUUUCACUGCGUACUAUCCAUGGUUAUAGAAAGUACUAGAUUGAUAGUUGCCCAACAGUCAACUACCGGCUGAGGUUUAUUUCGGGUUGAUUGGUGGGGUUUAUUUUGGUUCAGUUGACGGGGAUUGUUUUGGUUUUGUGAUGGGGUUUAUUGUGGUUGGUAUGCUGUAAUUUAAAAAAAGCGUCCACCUCCGACGACCACCGCAUUCACCAUCGAGAUGGACGAAGAAAGGCACAAGGAGUAGGAGGACGAGAAAUACGAGAGGAACAAGGUGGACGAAGAGGACGAGGAUUUGUGCACGUAUUCAAGGUAUAACCCAAGGUGGUUGGCUGUGGUCGUUGGCGGUGGUUGGCAGUGGUUGGAGGUGGUCGGAGGAGAACGAAGAGAACAAAUACGAUGCGGAGAACAAGGCUGAGUAAGAGGUGAAAAGGGACGAGGUGGUAGAGGGUACCAGGUGGUGUUAGAAGGUUGGGAGGUUUCUUUCCUGUUGGCCUACGCUCUUUUCGCUGCGUUUUCUGAGUUCCUGAGGGUCCAAUUAGUCAGCAGGUGCUUUUUUGCUCGCCAUUUCUCUCCUGUUGGUGCUACACUCUUUUCGCUGCAUUUUCUGAGUUCCUGAGGGUCCAAUUAGUCAGAUGAGGAUCAUUCAGAUCGAAUCUGGGACCAAAAAUUUUCGGCUACAAAAAUGAAGAAAAAGUAAGGCUAACCUCUUCUAAUUCUCUCUUCUAAUUUUUGUAUCCCGAGAACUUGAAUAGAAAUAUAGAACUAGGCUAAGGUUUUGGACUUAAGACUUUGUUUAUUGUUCAUUUUGUAAUAAUG
Molecule: long non-coding RNA, 837 nt
Filed under: Neodiprion pinetum (white pine sawfly)
Lineage: Eukaryota; Metazoa; Arthropoda; Insecta; Hymenoptera; Diprionidae
Description: uncharacterized LOC124220609, transcript variant X1
Source: RNAcentral